UAUUAUUUUUGAUGUUAAUUAUUUAACCUGAGUAGUAAUAGAUAUGGUCUUGAAACUUAAAGAAUUUGGCAGUAUUUUAUUCUGUUCAGAGGAACCUGUUCUUUUAUCGAUAAUCCUCGUUGGACCUUACUUAAUUUAUUUGAUUUGUAUACCGCCGUUGUAUUGAGGAUCUUUAUAGUGUUUUAAUUUUCUGGUUUUUAUUUUAAGUUAUUUCAGGUCAAGGUGCAAUUUAUGAUUAAGUGGAAAUGGGUUACUUUUAUAUUUAUUUUUGGAUUUUUAGAUGAAAUUUUAAUAUGAAAUUGGAUUUGAAUGUAAUUGUUAUUUUAGAUUGUAUUGAUGAUUUAGUUUCUAGAAUGUGUACACAUCGCCCGUCGCUCUCGUUAUUUAUUCGAG
Molecule: ribosomal RNA, 393 nt
Filed under: Cryptocercus changbaiensis
Lineage: Eukaryota; Metazoa; Arthropoda; Insecta; Blattodea; Cryptocercidae
Description: partial 12S small subunit ribosomal RNA
Source: RNAcentral